Molecule: unclassified non-coding RNA, 494 nt
Filed under: Hevea brasiliensis (rubber tree)
Lineage: Eukaryota; Viridiplantae; Streptophyta; Magnoliopsida; Malpighiales; Euphorbiaceae
Source: RNAcentral
AAAUAAAACUCAAUCUCAGAUCGAUCGCACAGGCGCCGCCGCUCUCCACCGAGAUCUGCAAUCGAAGCGAGGAUGAGCGUCGUCGGGUUCGAUUUCGGCAACGAGAGCUGCAUCGUCGCCGUCGCGCGGCAGCGCGGCAUCGAUGUCGUCCUCAAUGAUGAGUCGAAACGUGAGACCCCCGCCAUCGUCUGCUUCGGCGACAAACAGCGCUUCAUCGGCACCGCCGGCGCUGCAUCAUCCAUGAUGAACCCGAAGAACUCGAUCUCCCAGAUCAAGCGCUUGCUCGGCCGCAGAUUCUCGGAUCCCGAGCUGCAGCGCGACAUCCAGUCCCUUCCUUUCAAGGUCACGGAAGGGCCAGAUGGUUUCCCUCUCAUCCACGCAAACUACCUCAGCGAGCAGCGUGCUUUCACCCCGACGCAGGUUCUCGGGAUGAUUCUCUCCAACUUGAAGGACAUCGCGCAGAAAAAUCUCAACGCUGCUGUCGUCGACUGCUG